UCCAGGGUAGUCUAGUGAACAUGGCAUCUGCUCGGUAAGCGGAACACUGUGUGUUUGAUUCCCAUCCCUGAAC
Molecule: transfer RNA, 73 nt
Filed under: Cordylochernes scorpioides
Lineage: Eukaryota; Metazoa; Arthropoda; Arachnida; Pseudoscorpiones; Chernetidae
Description: tRNA-Thr
Source: RNAcentral